CUUCACUUUUUUGGUAGAUUUACCGCGAAGGUAAAAUUUAAAUAUGUACUCAUUUCUUUUCAUCACGACCCCCCCCCCCUUAUGUCGUGCAUGCUGUAUCGUUAAUAACUGCCAACGAUCACUAUUCAAAUACAAAACAACAAAUCUUCUUUUUCCAAAGGAAGCAAAAUGAAAUGAAAUAAUACAAAAUAUAUUAAGAGGAAGACCAGCAUUUCUUCGUUUAUUACCUUAAGCGGUGGUUGCUGGUUCUAUUAAAUUUCAUCCUCUGCUUCCUCCGCAAUCAGUUUCUCUAUGCUGUAUUGCUGCAUCCUAAGCCGGAGCAGUGUUGACAAAUAUCACUGUAUGGUAGACCAGCUCUCUUACAAGAGCAGCGGUUACUACAGCCUUUAGAACAUGUACAUGAGAUGAUGUGUGAAAGUACUAGGGAGGCAGGCGGGCUGAGCAUAGGCACAGGUAGAAGCCCGAGUUCCGAAGAUGUCCAUCACUCCAUCCCCAUUCCUUGGGAUUCAGUUUACUUCCUCUCCAGAGUUAAACUUUAAAGUAUAAGCGUAGGAAGUGUUGUUUGCACGCAUCUAAAGUUGGGGGCAACACUUGCAGUUUCACCUCAGUUUUUAGUGUUUUUCCCCCUACCUCCCCCCCCCCCGAGGGAGGGACAAACAUUUUGACUCCCCCUAGAGGACAGUCUUCUAAAAGAUAGAAACAUUCCCAAAGUUUCGUUUUUCUAUCUCUAACCGUUCUAAAGUUACAAGGGGGGUACCGACUUUUGAGUCACCCUGUAUAUAGAUUUUCUCAGAAAAUUGCUUGAUUGACUAGACUACAAGCCACAUUCAUCUCCCACAUUCAGCGUGUGAUUGCGAUAUGAGUCAGCCGCUUUUCGUGGCGACUUUUUAUUCGUUAGCCGGAAUAUGAGCGCAUGACUCUCAUGUAUUUUUUAAGUGAUUUUUUCCGCCACGUCUACGUCUAUUCACCAUUCAGGUGUAGCCAUUCUUUACUCUAUGACCUCCUUCCUUUGUGAGUGUUCUAAUGUAUAUAUAUUGAAGCUGUUUUAUUCUGAGGCCAAGAAGCAGUCUCAAUCACUGGUGGACUGGAGAGGAAUUCUCAUCAGGGAUGAAGCCCAAAAAGUCCUGUUACACGCGCUACGUUUUGACGCUAUUUACUUUGAUGUUACUUCACAGUCAUGGAGAAGCGUGACACCUCCAGCAGAUGUCCCUGCGGAUAGUAAGCGUUGCUACGAGAAUGGACGGGGGCGCAUCGCCACGUCAUCCUCACCAAAAACACCUCUCUUAAGUCUUGGAUAAAGAAUAGCGUAUCUCAUCCUAAUCAUUCAGGAAUCGCACCUCUUGUUAAUCAACCAUAUAAACCACCACCUACAUGAAACUGGAAAAUUCAAAAGAAACAGCCUAGAAGGCCUUGAAACAUCUCCCCAAGAAGACGUCAACGUUUAGAGAAAAGUCGUUUCGAAACUUCGCUGAAGAAAUCCGCCUUGUUUCAAUGAAAGGACAGAUGGAAGAAACGUGCGACUUAUCCGCCCAGGACUUUAUUUUUUUUCUUUUUCCUUUUUUAAAUGAAAUUAAUGAUGCAUUUUUACCAAUACAGGGUCUAAAAUUAAAUGUGAGACUGAAUAAACACUCGUCGUCACCAAACGAACUCUCCAUAAAUAUCCGCACAAAUUGCUCCUCAUGCAGCUUGUGGUCGGAAAAAAUCAUUGCUCAGAAAAAAAAAAAAUAAUUAUCGUAAUCAUAAUUUUGGUUUCUUGACUAAAAAAUACAUUUAUGCAUCAAGCCGGCUCCAGCGCGAAUGUGUAUGAAUGAUUUGAAAGUGAGAGAACAGUAUUUGAGGAAUUAUUAGUGCCUUUUGUAAAAAGUAUAGUGUGAUCAUCAAUCAUGAUGAUAUCUGGAUUUCAGGAGGGUGAUUUUUAGUCCAGAAGUUACCUCGGUGAACUUGCUUGUUGGCGGUACAUGUUACGAUUGUUACGGUUUUUAUGGAGUGUUAAUUUUGGCACUGAGCAACAUUACUCUCGUAAAUUCCACAUUUACUCACACGACUUAUUAUUAAAUGUCUGCCUUAUAAAGGAAUACUUGAAAAUUUCACGAAUUUGGCACUGGUUUUUACUGAGCGUUACUUUGCGGUUUCUCUACUUUAUCUUGCAGAAUCAUAAGCAUACCCAUCCCCUAAAUCGUCCAUUGCUGUUAGAUGGAUUUUUAAUUUGAACAUUAUUAAUUACUUUCUGUGAUUUGAAGUUUUUAAAUGCAUAGCGAUCACCUGAGAUUUUUCUUAUCAUUGUGAAAGUAUUUUAAAGAAAGUUAAUAACAUGAUGUUUCCAAUAUGCUUCGUAUUCUUUGUUUCUUUUGUCACUGUAGAAACAGGAAAGCUAUAAAAUCUCGUAUCAUCCUGAAUUUAAUAACAAGUACAGUCCGAAAGGAGGGAAUCUCAGCACAAAAGAUCAAUCGUCAAACAAAUCAAUCGUCGCACAAAGAUCAAGAAUUAUUUGAACAUAACUCUCGUAAAUUCCACACUUAUGCUCACACGACUUAUUAUUAAAUGUCUGCCUUAUAAAGGAAUACUUGAAAAUUUUACGAAUUGUCGGGGUCUGAAUAUGAACAAAUAAAGGACAAUAUGAAAAUAUUCUAAAAUUCCCUAAAAAUUACUUU
RNAcentral lists this long non-coding RNA (2651 nucleotides) under Bemisia tabaci. RNAcentral's name for it is "lncRNA ENSASIAIIG011006". Lineage: Eukaryota; Metazoa; Arthropoda; Insecta; Hemiptera; Aleyrodidae. The record is from RNAcentral.